RNAcentral lists this ribosomal RNA (432 nucleotides) under uncultured bacterium. RNAcentral describes it as "bacterial SSU rRNA". It matches the Rfam family "Bacterial small subunit ribosomal RNA", at positions 28 to 505 of the family's 1533-position model. The record is from RNAcentral.
GGUGAACGCUGGCGGCGUGGAUUAGGCAUGCAAGUCGAAUGCAUUUAGUUGCAUGGCAGACGAGGUAGUAACACGUAGGUUACGUACCCAAGAGUCGAGCAUAACCAGUCGAAAGAUUGGAUAAUUCUCGAUAGUCCCUUCGGGGUAAAGAUUUAUCGCUCUUGGAACGACCUGCGGGAUAUCAGCUUGUUGGUAGUGUAAUGGACUACCAAGGCUAUGACGUCUAGGGGAGGUGAGAGCCUGACCCCCACCGAUGGGACUGAGACACGGCCCAUACUCCUACGGGAGGCCGCAGUCGAGAAUCUUCCGCAAUGGGCGAAAGCCUGACGGAGCGACGCCGCGUGAUUGAUGAAGUCUUUCGGGACGUAAAGAUCUUUUCUUGAGGACGAAGUUUAUUGACGGUACUCAAGGAAUAAGGGGCUCCUAACUCUG